AUUGAACGCUGGCGGCAUGCUUUACACAUGCAAGUCGAACGGCAGCGCGGGCUUCGGCCUGGCGGCGAGUGGCGAACGGGUGAGUAAUACAGCGGAACGUGCCCAGGAGGGGGGGAAAGCUCGGCGAAAGCCGGAUUAAUACCGCAUACGACCUGAGGGUGAAAGCGGGGGAUCUUCGGAUCUCGCGCUUUUGGAGCGGCCGAUGGCAGAUUAGCUAGUUGGUGGGGUAAAGGCCUACCAAGGCGACGAUCUGUAGCUGGUCUGAGAGGACGACCAGCCACACUGGGACUGAGACACGGCCCAGACUCCUACGGGAGGCAGCAGUGGGGAAUUUUGGACAAUGGGCGAAAGCCUGAUCCAGCAAUGCCGCGUGUGUGAUGAAGGCCUUCGGGUUGUAAAGCACUUUUGGCGGGAACGAAAAGGACUGUGCCAAUACCACGGUUCGAUGACGGUACCCGAAGAAUAAGCACCGGCUAACUACGUG
Molecule: ribosomal RNA, 484 nt
Filed under: uncultured bacterium
Lineage: Bacteria
Description: partial 16S ribosomal RNA
Rfam family: Bacterial small subunit ribosomal RNA
Source: RNAcentral